RNAcentral lists this transfer RNA (73 nucleotides) under Camelus bactrianus (Bactrian camel). It matches the Rfam family "tRNA". Rfam says of the family: Transfer RNA (tRNA) molecules are approximately 80 nucleotides in length. The record is from Rfam by way of RNAcentral. RNAcentral also lists the same sequence under 1 other name. Lineage: Eukaryota; Metazoa; Chordata; Mammalia; Artiodactyla; Camelidae.
GAGGGUAUAGCUCAGGUGGUAGAGCACAUGUUCGGCAUACAUGAGGUCCUGGGUUCAAUCCCCAGUACCUCCU